AAUCAACGCUGGCGGCGUGCCUCAGACAUGCAAGUCGAACGCGAAAUCUCCCUUCGGGGAGAAAGUAGAGUGGCGCACGGGUGAGUAACACGUAGGUAAUUUGCCUUUGGGUGGGGAAUAACUCAGGGAAACUUGAGCUAAUACCGCAUAAUGCAGCGGCUCGACAUCGAGACAGUUGUUAAAGCGGGGGAUUCGCAAGAACCUCGCGCCUGAAGAGAAGCCUGCGGCAGAUUAGCUAGUUGGUAAGGUAAUGGCUUACCAAGGCGACGAUCUGUAACCGGCCUGAGAGGGCGGUCGGUCACACUGACACUGACAUACGGGUCAGACCUCCGUA
This 334-nucleotide ribosomal RNA is filed under the name uncultured bacterium. RNAcentral's name for it is "bacterial SSU rRNA". It matches the Rfam family "Bacterial small subunit ribosomal RNA", at positions 32 to 343 of the family's 1533-position model. The record is from RNAcentral.